This 492-nucleotide ribosomal RNA is filed under the name uncultured bacterium. RNAcentral's name for it is "partial 16S ribosomal RNA". It matches the Rfam family "Bacterial small subunit ribosomal RNA", at positions 29 to 507 of the family's 1533-position model. The record is from RNAcentral.
AGUGAACGCUGGCGGUAGGCCUAACACAUGCAAGUCGAACGGCAGCACAGUAAGAGCUUGCUCUUACGGGUGGCGAGUGGCGGACGGGUGAGGAAUACAUCGGAAUCUACUUUUUCGUGGGGGAUAACGUAGGGAAACUUACGCUAAUACCGCAUACGACUUACGGGUGAAAGCAGGGGAUCUUCGGACCUUGCGCGAUUGAAUGAGCCGAUGUCGGAUUAGCUAGUUGGCGGGGUAAAGGCCCACCAAGGCGACGACCCGUAGCUGGUCUGAGAGGAUGAUCAGCCACACUGGAACUGAGACACGGUCCAGACUCCUACGGGAGGCAGCAGUGGGGAAUAUUGGACAAUGGGCGCAAGCCUGAUCCAGCCAUACCGCGUGGGUGAAGAAGGCCUUCGGGUUGUAAAGCCCUUUUGUUGGGAAAGAAAAGCAGCAGGUUAAUACCCCGCUGUUCUGACGGUACCCAAAGAAUAAGCACCGGCUAACUUCGUG